CGGAGGGUGCAAGCGUUGUCCGGAUUUAUUGGGUUUAAAGGGUGCGUAGGCGGCUUUUUAAGUCAGCGGUGAAAGACAACAGCUCAACUGUUGCAGUGCCAUUGAUACUGAAGAGCUUGAGUACAGAUGAGGUAGGCGGAAUUUAUGGUGUAGCGGUGAAAUGCAUAGAUACCAUAAAGAACACCUAUUGCGAAGGCAGCUUACUAAGCUGUAACUGACGCUGAGGCACGAAAGUGUGGGGAUCAAACAGGAUUAGAUACCCUGGUAGUCCACACUGUAAACGAUGAUCACUCGAUGUGUGCGAUAGGCAGUACGCGUCCAAGCGAAAGCGUUAAGUGAUCCACCUGGGGAUACGCUCGCAAGAGUG
Molecule: ribosomal RNA, 367 nt
Filed under: uncultured organism
Description: bacterial SSU rRNA
Rfam family: Bacterial small subunit ribosomal RNA
Source: RNAcentral